RNAcentral lists this ribosomal RNA (669 nucleotides) under uncultured archaeon. RNAcentral describes it as "bacterial SSU rRNA". It matches the Rfam family "Archaeal small subunit ribosomal RNA", at positions 316 to 989 of the family's 1478-position model. The record is from RNAcentral.
CGAUUCCCUACGGGGUGCAGCAGGCGCGAAAACUUUACAAUGCGGGAAACCGUGAUAAGGGAACUCCGAGUGUCCGUAAAUGCGGACUGUCCGUAUGUCUAAAAAGCAUGCGAAGAAAGGGCCGGGCAAGACCGGUGCCAGCCGCCGCGGUAAUACCGGCGGCUCGAGUGGUGGCCACUAUUAUUGGGCUUAAAGCGUUCGUAGCUGGAUUGUUAAGUCUCUUGGGAAAUCUACCGGCUUAACCGAUAGGCGUCCAAGGGAUACUGGCAAUCUAGGGACCGGGAGAGGUGAGGGGUACUUCAGGGGUAGGAGUGAAAUCCUGUAAUCCUUGGGGGACCACCUGUGGCGAAGGCGCCUCACCAGAACGGCUCCGACAGUGAGGGACGAAAGCUGGGGGGGCAAACCGGAUUAGAUACCCGGGUAGUCCCAGCCGUAAACGAUGCGCGUUAGGUGUAUCGAUGACCACGAGUCAUCGAGGUGCCGAAGGGAAACCGUGAAACGCGCCGCCUGGGAAGUACGGUCGCAAGGCUGAAACUUAAAGGAAUUGGCGGGGGAGCACCACAACAGGUGGAGCCUGCGGUUUAAUCGGACUCAACGCCGGAAAUCUCACCGGAUAAGACAGCUGAAUGAUAGUCGGGCUGAAGACUCUACUUGACUAGCUGAGAGGAG